CACCUUCUUCCUCCUCCGGCGAACUCUGGUCCUCUCGCUUACUGUUUCUGAAACGUCAACAAAUCCUAAUUGCAAUGCAUGAUAACAUGAAUGUUGAAAACAACUGAUUUUGAGAAAGUGGAUUGCCGUGCCAACCUUGCUUCUGAGAUUGAGAAUUCAACAAGGAAGAAAGAAUAUAAUUAACUUACUGCUGAAAGGAAAGACUAUUUGCUAAAUGCUGUGGUGUUUAACUCGCCAGGCUUAUUUAUAGGCGGUAGGUGGUGGCCACAAAGACCCUUCGAGGAAGGCCGGAAUGACAUCAACAUUAAAUGAAGGUGAGGAAGACAAGUUCAGUUCAGAAACUGUGGUUAAAUCAGUUUCUGACUGUGGCAAGGGAGUGAAAGCUGAAAAGCUUUUUGAAGUGCUGGUGGGGAAGACAAACUGAAGGAAUUCACAUGGGGAGCACCCCACAGGUUUCACUUUGAACACGCGUCACAAUGUCCAGGUACUCGGCAUCUCAUCUUGCUUACGUUGCUAUACCUAUUCCCUCCUGACAGAAGAUAAACAUCAUCCAUUUGAAUCUUCAAGUCGAGUGAUGAUGGCUUAUUUGGAUUCCCUUGUGGAUUCUGUGGUCAAGCCUGCACUCUGCACGCUUGCUGGGGGCUUAAUUAGUUACUGCUAGCUCUUGCUUGAUUUGGCCUAAUGCAGCAAGUGCCUUUUUGCUAACCUCGCUCGAGAACAGUGGGCUUUUUUUGGCGCAUGCAGCGAUGUAGCAAUCAGCUUUGGAAACCUCAGCAAUAAUGGUGGACAGAGCCGUCUCCCAUUUGUUCAGCCACUUCGUCUCCGCAUCUGAUUCAAAGAUUUUGUGCGAGAUAACAUCAAAAAAAUAUUCAGGGUGAGGAAGUGGAAACUUGGGAGGGUCCCCUUGGCCUUGCUGGGUUGCGCCUGGCUUGCCUCUCUGGGUAAGCCAACUAUCUUCUCCACCUCCAACUCCAUCUUUUUUUUUUCCCCCUUCUCUUCCUGUUACAAUACAAGCAAAUCUUAUCUCCUCCCUCCCACUCAUAGUCAUGGAAGGCUACCUCACCACCUUUAUUGCAAGUGAACUUUAGCUGGAAGGAUUAGCAUGACUAAGAGUGGCAUUGUGGGCUCCUAGAAAUGGGGCUCUCGGCUCUGUCUCUUCUUCCACCUAUAGGCCAUGGCAGUCACCUUUCAGGGAAUGUAUCUUUAUAUUGAUGUGAUAAGCAGGAGCCGGUUGAGGAUCCAAAGUCUUUGGCUGAGGGUGGCACUGGGACUGCCACGGCAGUGGGCUUCGUAAAUGGGCAAGUUCAGAAGGAGGUGGGGAAUGCCUUUGCUGGGAGUGCAAAGCACCUAGUGGCAGUGCCUGUGAGACACCUCCUCCAUUUCUGGGUUCCUUUUGACCUCCUCCUUUUUGUUGCAGUGAAUGUGGAUAAGGCACCAAGCCUCUGACUCUUGUCAGCCUUUGCCUAGCUGCUUUGCGAAGAGGCCAGGGCCUGGACAAGGGAAUAUUGUUAGUACAAUCUGAAGCUACUUUUCACUUAAAGAGAUAUCUUUUCUUCACCUUUACCAGACUCAGUUCUCACAGUCGUCCCUGUUCAUUGCACUCGGAAGUUGGAAUCUGAGUUCAUCAGUUAUCAAUCAGCUGAGGCCUGGGAUUAAGCUCAUAGCUUUUGUACUAUUCCAUGACCAUAUUUAUAUCAUGUAUCAUCUCUUUUUUUUUUUUUUUUUUUUUUUUUGAAAUGUUCAAACAAAUGUUUCUUGAGAAUAUUUUGAAUAUGGAGAAUGAAUGUGGCAGUGGUGAGGGAGCUCCUUCACUUUUCCCAUGGAGCAGCUCCCUGCUCUCUUUUUUUUUAAUUAAAAUUAUUUUUUAAUUA
Zingiber officinale is the source of this 1871-nucleotide long non-coding RNA. RefSeq lists it as uncharacterized. The transcript is spliced from 3 exons. The record is from RefSeq and is a predicted model, not a curated record. NCBI's taxonomy places the organism in Eukaryota, Viridiplantae, Streptophyta, Magnoliopsida, Zingiberales, Zingiberaceae.